This 642-nucleotide unclassified non-coding RNA is filed under the name Hevea brasiliensis (rubber tree). Lineage: Eukaryota; Viridiplantae; Streptophyta; Magnoliopsida; Malpighiales; Euphorbiaceae. The record is from RNAcentral.
CUCUUUGCAAAAUCUGAAUUCUCAGGAUAUAACACACCUGGUAUCUUCACACAUCCAGCUUGUCUGGCAGCCUUGGACACUAAGGAGCGAGGUAAAACCUUCCAACUGAAUAACCGGCGAGAAAGCUUACCACCCCUCCACCAUAACAUACCUAAUCCACUGGCAGAUUUUGAAGAAGGAUUAGAAUCAAAUUCUGAGUACCUAACCCUCUUCCUGCCAAUUCCAUUCUUUGAAGAAGCACGCGUUGAAGCUGUGACAAUAUGAGAAGCUGAACCCAUAGUGGUGGCAGAAUCCACAUGUUUCAACCACUCCCCUGUAAGUGCCAGCUGAUGCACAUUUGACUCUAAUAUGAGAAGUAAAUGUUUCACGAAUACAAUAUCUGAUGCAUUAAGAACAGUUUUACGCCAAAGCCUGCUAUAAUGUGGAUUCAGCCAUGGACCUAGCAGAAGCCCCUGCAACCUGCCUUCAAUCAAGAGAAUAUAUCUCAUUAUAUCUGCAAGAUGACCUUUCUUGUUCCUUUUUGAUGGAAGGCCAACAACCUCAUCCACUGGCCCUUUCUGAACUGGACCCAAACUCAUAUUAAACAAGCAACCUAUUUCAUCAGAAGAAACCCUGCAAGUGAAGCACCACCCACAUUUUUCU